This 497-nucleotide ribosomal RNA is filed under the name uncultured bacterium. Its description in RNAcentral is "partial 16S ribosomal RNA". It matches the Rfam family "Bacterial small subunit ribosomal RNA", at positions 28 to 507 of the family's 1533-position model. The record is from RNAcentral.
GAUGAACGCUGGCGGCGUGCCUAAUACAUGCAAGUCGAGCGAACAGACGAGGAGCUUGCUCCUUUGACGUUAGCGGCGGACGGGUGAGUAACACGUAGGUCACCUACCUAUAAGACUGGGAUAACUUCGGGAAACCGGAGCUAAUACCGGCUAAUAUUUCGAACCGCAUGGUUCAAUAGUGAAAGAUGGCUUUGCUAUCACUUAUAGAUGGACCUGCGCCGUAUUAGCUAGUUGGUAAGGUAACGGCUUACCAAGGCAACGAUACGUAGCCGACCUGAGAGGGUGAUCGGCCACACUGGAACUGAGACACGGUCCAGACUCCUACGGGAGGCAGCAGUAGGGAAUCUUCCGCAAUGGGCGAAAGCCUGACGGAGCAACGCCGCGUGAGUGAUGAAGGUCUUCGGAUCGUAAAACUCUGUUAUUAGGGAAGAACAAACGUGUAAGUAACUGUGCACGUCUUGACGGUACCUAAUCAGAAAGCAACGGCUAACUACGUG